Molecule: long non-coding RNA, 2697 nt
Filed under: Lactuca sativa (garden lettuce)
Lineage: Eukaryota; Viridiplantae; Streptophyta; Magnoliopsida; Asterales; Asteraceae
Description: long non-coding RNA (LSAT_LNC005554)
Source: RNAcentral
UUAAAUUACUCAUGAAUUUCAAGAAAACCCUGAUGAUCGAUGAUUAUGUGUAUAUAUGCUUGUAAUUUUGUAGGGAAGUGGUGCUGGAGUACGUAAAGACAUCAACGGUGAUGAUGAAAAAACUAUUACAAGUACUAAUUGGAAACCUAGGAGUGAAACUAAACGAUUCAAGACUUGAUACACUUUUAGGUUCAAAGUCAGUGCACAUGAUCUUCUGCCCGACUUGUCCAAACCCUGAGUUAACUAUAGGUGUUAGGAAGCACUCUGAUAAGGGCACGCUAACAAUGCUUCUACAAGAUGACAUUGGUGGAUUAUACGUGAAAAAAGGCGAAAACUUAUCAUCUGGAGACGAAGAGUGGAUCGAGGUUCCACCCAUCCAUGGUGCUCUAGGCGUCAACGUUGGCGAUAUGUUACAGGUUAAUUUCAUGCUAUAUUACUAAUGAUUAAACUUCCUCCUUAAAUGGAUAUAUAACUUUUAUUUGGUGUUUCAUCAUGUUAGAUUUUAAGCAAUGGAAGGUACAAAAGUGCAGAACACGUAGUGCGAACCACAAACACUGCAUCAAGAGUGUCGGUCCCUAUAUUCAAUGCUCCGCUUCCUGUUGCAAUUAUAGGACCCUUUCCGGAGCUGGUGGCUAGUGAUGGGGUCGCUAGAUACAGAGAUAUCAAUUACAAAGAGUACACGAACAACAUCGAUAUUGAGAAACCCUGUGGAAGAAAGAUGGCUCUUGAAUUCGUGUCUAUUUAAUUAAGCUUUUAUUCUCCAUUUUAGUGGAGUUAUUAUGUGUAAUAAAGGACGACUUCUGUACUCAAUAAAAUAUGUUUUGGAUUUACUUAGCAAUAUUAAAAGCAAUUUUGUCAAUUUUUUAUACCAUGAAUCAAACAUCAUCAUAUACUAAAUCACAGGAAUGUAAAGAAAAACUUACUUGAAUUGUAUCUAAUCUUCACCUGGAAGAUGAAGUCAUGUUAUUGACAGAAAUUGAUAACGAUCACUACUAGUACUAGAAAAGUGAUUCUUUUCCAAUGGGAGAAAAAUUCCGUCGGAAAUACCGAUGGAACAACGAGAGACUUAAUUUAGGAACAAUAUGUGACGGCAUAGCAACGGACGUGAGAAACGUCGGUGAAUACUGCCGGACACGAAUACAAAAUUACUUUUUUAUAGGCCGCCACAUAAAUACGUAAAAAAUGCAAUGUCUUGGAUAGAACCCGGACGAAUGACGAGACCGGGAAACAGCUUACCACUUCCUGUUUUAAGCCUAAUGGAAAAUACUACAAUUAAAAUUAUUAUUAUUAUUCGAGUGGUAAAUAUAUUUUUCUCCGUUCGUAUUUUUGCACAUAUUUCUCAUACAUAUACAUACAUACAUAUACACUUGUAUACUUACGCGUAUACAUAUGCAUACGUUCAAUAAUAAAGGUAAUAAUACCUAUUGUUGCUGCUACAACUAAUAUUAUUAUUAUUAUUAUUAUUAUUAUUAUUAAACUUUUGUCUUUUAUAUUGAAACCAUUUUUCAAACNAUAACAUUAGAAUAAAAAUUAAAAUAAACUUAAUACAAAUUAUAAAGUGAUAUUAUUUCAAUUAUUUAUUUAAAUCAAUGAUUAAAAAUUAUAUAACUAAAAAAUCUCUUAAUUAAUAAUUUAUUUAAAAUAAUUAAUUAAUAAUUUUUAGUUUUUAUUUUAAAAGUUUAAUUAAUUAUAUAAGUGUAGGUUAUAAACUAAUAUUUACUCAAUUAGUGGUGUCAUCUCACUGUAAAACCUCUCCAACUUUUGCUCAAUCAGGAUAGUGCAAAGAGACAAUUUGUGGGUGUCAUCUCACUAUAAAAUCUCUCCAUGUUUUGUUCAAUCAAGAAAGUGCAACGAGACACAAUAUUUACAUUAUAUAUCUCAAAUGGCUCUAAGCUUCAAUGAUGAGAAUUCACUAUUCAACUUCGUCGUGAAAGAAGGAAAUGGUGUCAAAGGUCUCAUGGACUCCGGUCUCACCGAGGUACCACGUCGUUUCAUCCAACCACCCGACGAACGACUCGACAAGCAACAUGCUGCAGCCCCAUCGUCUGAAAACAUGAUCAUUGAUCUAUCGGAGCUUGAUGGACCUAACCAUGAUCAAGUGGUCAAGGCCAUAUCCCAUGCUGCUGAAACUCUAGGCUUCUUUCAGGUGGUGAAUCAUGGUGUGCCAUUAGAGCUCCUAGACUCGCUUAAAACUGCAACUCACAAGUUUUUUGACCAACCAGCUGAAAAGAAAGCGACAUAUCUCAAGGAGGUGAGCGAUAAUCCGAUGAUCAUGUAUGCAACAAGCUUUAUUCCUGAGAAAGAGAAGGUUUGGAUGUGGAGAGACUUUUUUAAAAUGACAUACACCAACGAUGAUGAUGCCCUUCAGUAUUGGCCUAAUGAAUGCAAGUAAGAACCCACCUUAAAUUACUCAUGAAUUUCAAGAAAACCCUGAUGAUCGAUGAUUAUGUGUAUAUAUGCUUGUAAUUUUGUAGGGAAGUGGUGCUGGAGUACGUAAAGACAUCAACGGUGAUGAUGAAAAAACUAUUACAAGUACUAAUUGGAAACCUAGGAGUGAAACUAAACGAUUCAAGACUUGAUACACUUUUAGGUUCAAAGUCAGUGCACAUGAUCUUCUGCCCGACUUGUCCAAACCCUGAGUUAACUAUAGGUGUUAGGAAGCACUCUGAUAAGGGCACGCUAACAAUGCUUCUACAA